CAUGGCGUCAUAGAGGGUGAGAAUCCCGUAUGUGACUGUGGCUCAAGCCCGUGUGAAGCCUCUUCGACGAGUCGAGUUGUUUGGGAAUGCAGCUCAAAAUGGGUGGUAAAUUUCAUCUAAAGCUAAAUACUGGCUGGAGACCGAUAGCGCACAAGUAGAGUGAUCGAAAGAUGAAAAGCACUUUGGAAAGAGAGUCAAACAGUACGUGAAAUUGUUGAAAGGGAAGCGCUUGCAACCAGACCUGUCCGUAGGCGAUCAGCCGCUGUUCUCAGUGGUGCACUCGCUCUGCGAUCAGGCCAGCAUCGGUUCGGGCGGCCGGAUAAAGGCCUUGGGAAUGUAGCUCCCCUCGGGGAGUCUUAUAGCCCUCGGCGCAAUGCGGCCAGCCGGGACCGAGGACCGCGCUUCGGCUAGGAUGCUGGCGUAAUGGUUGUAAGCGACCCGUCUUGAAACACGGACCAAGGAGUCUAACAUCUACGCGAGUGUUUGGGUGUCAAACCCAUGCGCGGAAUGAAAGUGAAUGGAGGUGAGACCCCUUAAGGGCGCAUCAUCGACCGAUCCAGAUGUCUUCGGAUGGAUUUGAGUAUGAGCGUAGCUGUUGGGACCCGAAAGACAGUGAACUAUGCCUGAAUAGGGUGAAGCCAGAGGAAACUCUGGUGGAGGCUCGCAGCGGUUCUGACGUGCAAAUCGAUCGUCAAAUUUGGGUAUAGGGGCGAAAGACUAAUCGAACUGUCUAGUAGCUGGUUCCUGCCGAAGUUUCCCUCAGGAUAGCAGUAACGUUUUCAGUUUUAUGAGGUAAAGCGAAUGAUUAGAGGCCUUG
RNAcentral lists this ribosomal RNA (817 nucleotides) under Nephromopsis laureri. RNAcentral describes it as "LSU rRNA". It matches the Rfam family "Eukaryotic large subunit ribosomal RNA", at positions 196 to 1032 of the family's 3401-position model. Lineage: Eukaryota; Fungi; Ascomycota; Lecanoromycetes; Lecanorales; Parmeliaceae. The record is from RNAcentral.